Molecule: long non-coding RNA, 1453 nt
Organism: Triticum aestivum (bread wheat)
Lineage: Eukaryota; Viridiplantae; Streptophyta; Magnoliopsida; Poales; Poaceae
Exons: 2
Source: RefSeq, a predicted model, not a curated record
UGUCAAUCCAUCACUAUCCGCGUAAAUAUCGUCUGCCCAGACGCAACCACCCACCACCCCUCCCCCAUCGUGUAUCCCCGGGCGAGCUGAUCUCCGGCCGGAUCCGCAGCGCCGUUUCACCACCAGCAUGAUCCACCCCGACGAUCCCCAACGCUCCGUCUUCCUCCUCGCCGGUGCGGCGACCCGUCCGCGUACGCUGCAACCCGAUCCACCUCUCCCCCUCGCCGUCUAGCUUCCCCACUAGGGCACUGCCAAGCUACCCUCCUCCUCACCGCGAUGGUGAAUCGUCUCGGUCCGGCAAAGAAGCCUGCAAGCCCAGAGCAGUCCGGCGAGUCCCCCUGGUACGUACUCACCUGACUUAGGUUUUGAAGUCCUCUCAUGUCGAUACAGUUUUAUUCUGAGGCACUUGAUUUGUGUUACUUCGUGUUCAUAUCUUGAUUGGGCCAAUGUUGACAGGUGAGUAUUUGAUUGCCAUAUCAUCUACAAAUUCUGGUUAAUUUGGCACACAGAUGUCAAUAAUGUGCAUCUCAAUCUUGGUGAUAAUAUUUUUUUAGAAUUUCAAAUUUUCAUGCUUCCAUGGAAAACUAGUUUUAUUCUCAAAGUACCAUGUUUGAUACUUCUCUGUUAUGUAGCACCUAAAUUGCAGUACAGAUGCUUUCAAACUCUAUACAAUAUGCUUACAGUAUUAGUCUGCUUCAAUUUUCGUGGUUAUAUGCUUCCAUUUGAGCUCUUGUAUAUAGCACAAUUUCUACUUCUUGGCAUGCAUCUUGCAACACGCUCUUUUCACGCUUCUUACUGAUGGAGAUUUUAAAUUGUAGCAAACUUGCUUCUUGGGGCGAGAGUUUUCUUCCAUAGGUAAACAAAAUUCAAUGAAACAUGUAUGUUUGUGAGACCAAACAUGCAUCCCAAUGUUGGCCGAACCUUUGUUUGUUUUCAUUUUCAAUGUUCUACUAUUUUAUAUAGCAUAAUUUCAGGCUUCCUGUGAGCUUCUAAAUCAUACUUUGAGUGCUUCUUCGGUUUAUGCAGAUUGCUUCCAUACUUCCUGCUACUUAUUUUAUAAGUUUUUGUGUUAUCCUCGCUAUCACACGUGUCUUCAUUCCAGGAAGCACGGAAGGUAGUAAGAUGCAGCAUGUCUUUUCACAGUCCAUGGUGCGGGAGGCAAUGUCUUCGCACUUUUGCUUGAAGUUUGUGUCUUUGCCGUAGAUGGUGCAGUGCUCUGAGAUCACCAUGAAAGCAAAUUCCCCGCUUAGCUGAGAAAAAUCUUUCACCGUUGUGGAAACAUAUUCCCAUGCAAUUUAAAAUAUAAUUCGUUUUUCCUUUUGAUGGAAACAAAUAUAUGUUUGUAUGGAAGCAAUUCACUGAUAAUGAUUUAGAAGCAAAGUGUAUAUCUUUGUAAGCAAAUCAUGAUCAUAUGCGUCAUUUUUUCGGUAUGGAAGCAAAUCUUACUUUUUUA